GAUGAACGCUAGCGGGAGGCCUAACACAUGCAAGCCGAGCGGUAUUUGUCUUUCGGGACAGAGAGAGCGGCGUACGGGUGCGGAACACGUGUGCAACCUGCCUUUAUCAGGGGGAUAGCCUUUCGAAAGGAAGAUUAACACCCCAUAAUAUAUUGAAUGGCAUCAUUUGAUAUUGAAAACUCCGGUGGAUAGAGAUGGGCACGCGCAAGAUUAGAUAGUUGGUAGGGUAACGGCCUACCAAGUCAGUGAUCUUUAGGGGGCCUGAGAGGGUGAUCCCCCACACUGGUACUGAGACACGGACCAGACUCCUACGGGAGGCAGCAGUGAGGAAUAUUGGACAAUGGGUGAGAGCCUGAUCCAGCCAUCCCGCGUGAAGGACGACGGCCCUAUGGGUUGUAAACUUCUUUUGUAUAGGGAUAAACCUAGAUACGUGUAUCUAGCUGAAGGUACUAUACGAAUAAGCACCGGCUAACUCCGUGCCAGCAGCCGCCGCGG
RNAcentral lists this ribosomal RNA (495 nucleotides) under uncultured bacterium. RNAcentral's name for it is "partial 16S ribosomal RNA". It matches the Rfam family "Bacterial small subunit ribosomal RNA", at positions 28 to 523 of the family's 1533-position model. The record is from RNAcentral.